GUGUUUUAAGCCUUGGAAAGAAGGUUGGCUAGGAGGGAAAAGCUUGAAGAGCAAAGGGGUUGAAGCAAGGAAGGUGUGGGAAACAGAACUUACCUCAGCUAGCAUCUUCUGGAGGUAUCAAGUUGUAAUAUUUACUCCCCUUCUCUUCUAGAUCUCUUUGUGGUUGAGUUUUAGGUUUUUAUGGAUUUUUGGAGUCAAUUUGGUGAGCUAUGAGCUAGAUCUAAAGUUGUAACUUCAGAUCUGGACCCUUCUCAAGUUCUAGAAUCAUAAAGUUUCUGUUUUGGUUGUGGAUGAGGCCCUCCUUGUGCAUGAAACCCCAUUAAGAUCAUAGAUUUGGCAUUAAGAGCCUUUUUAGUCAUGCAUGCACGUAAAGUCUGCAACUUUAUGUGAAAAGCAUGCCCUAGAAGCUUGGAUCUGUAAUUUGGAGCCAUUACAUGGCUUAAAUGAGUCCGUAUGGAUUAAGGAUUGAAGGAACUCGCCGAGUCGCAAGGUUGACUCAGCGAGUCACAUGAAGAUGACCAUGAACUCGACGAGUUGGAUGAACAAAUCGGCGAGUCCGAUGAAGAUUGCCAUAGACGCGACGAGUUGUAUGAACAACUCGGCAAGUCGGAUGAGUUUUCCCCAAGUUAUGAAUGCAUGUGUAUCCGUCGUGUUGCCAGAAGGAAACUCGACGGGUGGUCUUAGGGUUUCGAUUGAAAAUCGUAGGAACUCGACGAGUCACCCCAGUGACUCGGCGAGUGGGAAAGAACUUCACGGAACUCGGCGAGUAGCCGAGGGUACUCGGCGAGUUAAGGUCAACAUGGACUGUUGACCUUGACUAAGGACUUUGACUUUGACCAAGGGUUGUUUAGCUGGUUUAUGGAGUACCUUGUGAGGUUGAGGACUUAUGAGUAUAUUCUUACUAUAGUAAUAGGUGGUGGAGUCUUUGGCAAGUGAUCCGAGAGUUGGGAUUUAUCUACCGAGUCGACAUCUGCGAGGUGAGUUAUCCUCACUAUAUCAAAAGGGUCUAAGGCACCAAGGUCGGCCUUGUAGUUGUUAUGGUUAUGAUAAGAUAUAUGCGAUUAUGAUCUGAUAGAUCGAAAUCAUGAUAGACAGUAUGUUAUGUUUUGCGAUCCUUAAGGAUUGGUAUGUUAGUGGCCUGCUAGGCCUGUGCUCUAGUCAUGAGAGAUUGUUAUGAUUGAUGAUUCAUAAGAUAAAUAUAUUUGAUGUCUGUAUAUGCCAGUAUAUGUUAGUUAUGCGCACAUGAUUACUUGCUUGUUGGUUGGGUUGAGGCGGUCCUGCUUUGUGCUGAAGGCCAACAUACCCUAUGAGCGGUCCGGGGAGACUGUAGGCCCACGUGGCGGCCUAGUCAUGCCGAAGGCUCGAUAUAGAUUCAGUUAGACUGUAGGCCCUGUAGGGCGGUCCAGUUACGUCGGUGGACCAGUAUGCAUAUUGAUUGAUUGAUUAUUACUGAUAUGAUAUUAUCAGUGUGGUAUUGGUAUUUUGGGGGUAGCUCACUAAGCCCCCGGGCUUACAGUUUUACAGUUAUGGUUUUAGGUACUUCGGGAGAUCAUGGCAAGGCGAAGGCGUGACUGUAC
RNAcentral lists this long non-coding RNA (1577 nucleotides) under Lactuca sativa (garden lettuce). RNAcentral's name for it is "long non-coding RNA (LSAT_LNC007981)". The record is from RNAcentral. Lineage: Eukaryota; Viridiplantae; Streptophyta; Magnoliopsida; Asterales; Asteraceae.